This 68-nucleotide transfer RNA is filed under the name Marmota monax (woodchuck). Its description in RNAcentral is "tRNA.Ala". The record is from RNAcentral. Lineage: Eukaryota; Metazoa; Chordata; Mammalia; Rodentia; Sciuridae.
GCUGUAGCUCAGUGGUAAAGCACUUGCCUAGCAUUCUCGAGGCUCUGGGCUUGAUCCCCAGCACUGCA